This is an RNA transcript of Triticum dicoccoides, 1653 nucleotides long. RefSeq lists it as uncharacterized. The record is from RefSeq and is a predicted model, not a curated record. Lineage: Eukaryota; Viridiplantae; Streptophyta; Magnoliopsida; Poales; Poaceae. The transcript has 7 exons.
CUCCCUGACUAAAGAAGCAAAAAGGUGAGAGAAGGGUAGAAAAGAAGAGAAAGGUGAGCAUACACUGGUACAGAGUAGGCAUGCUCUCGGUUCAUGCUUGAAAAAGAUUACGAAGAGAGAGAGAAAGUGGACCCUGGUGAAGCAGCUGUUGCAUUGGGAGUUUAUUUUAUAGUACUACUGCUCAACAUACUUUAACUAGGUGAAGAAGAUGAGGCGAUGAGGCUAUACCUUACGGAUGCUUCCAUUGCUCAUGAGCACCAGGAUAAAGCUAGCCUGCUGGUUAGAUCACCGUCGCCCGAGAGGAACACGUGCUCCUCCCCUGUUUGCCCAGAGCGACGGCUCUUACUGUUUACCAGCAGUGAGCGAGGUGAUUCUACCCCCUCACCGUUCCACAUACGCAUCCACCUUCUCGGCCUCAUCCCCUUCUUCCACUUCACUCUCCUACUUCACUCCUCUCGCUUCCUCUCAAACGUGUACCUAGAUCUGCGCUGCUCCUCAAAUCGCCGGCGAUUCGAGAUGGAGAAAACUGCGUCUAGCUGCGAUUGAUCUUCACGGCAGUUUUCCCCCUCGAUCCGCCCUCUGUGACUGCUGUAGGCACGCUGAAUCAUUCCCUCACGUUCGGUUCUUCUCAAAAGGUUUCGCCAGAUCAUCUUGGAUACUGUGUUUGAGAAAGUUGGCCUUCCAUCAGCUGCCUACUCUGCACCGAGCUCCUCUUCCAGUUCAGGCAACACCAUGGCUGAUGGAUCCUCCGCGAUGGCAACCUCGUCCGUGAACGUCCCGAUAGAUGAUGGGCUACUGAUCAAGAGCCUUCCUCCGCUGUCUCCAAUCCGCGUCACCAUCAGCAAGCAAUUCAUUCUUGAACGAGCAAUUGAAACAAUUGGUGGCACACUCCAUCCAUUCACUUUUACCGGUACAAGCAGCGAUGAUGUCGACGUCUCUCUCUCCAUUGACCUACCUCCCCACAGCAAAAGCAUGUCAAGCACAAGAAAGGAAUUCCAUGCCCCACACAUCGAAUCUACCUGUGUUGCUGCCCUCGUGUACCUACAGAAAACAGGUAUAGUCACAAUCAAUGAUGCAAACUUUGCAGAGCUGAAAAUAUGUAAAACUUCAGGCUGAGGAGUUCUGGUCCUCGGCUCUCUAUGAUAAGGCCAACGCCCUGGGCAACCAGCUCUCUUUACUGACUGCCGCCAAGCAGAAACCCCAGCCUGAGAAUAAACAAGGAGCUACUUUAUUGCCUCCUAACCAUCAUAAUACUCCACAGACCAGCCAGAAAGUGCUUUCCGAGCAUGCCACUGAUAGAGAAACCACAUCAACCCCUGUCACAGAAACAAACAAUAGCAUCCACCAUGUUCCUUCUAAAGACGACAAAAAGAGGAGGACCACCCGCAAGGUGUUGUUCCCUGGAAAAUAAGGUUCGUGCGAGGUAGUCCCUAUGAAGUACAUCGACAAGGCGGAUGGAUUACGGCGCCUAUUAAUAUGCUUAGUGAUAAUGGCUCCUUAGUUGACUCUUUUUAUUAUGUUCCUGCUCUUAUUACCUUCUCUUAUGCGUUCUCACUUUUGGUAUUGAACCUGAUGUCAAAUGGCUAUCUUUUGUGGUCAUGUAAACGCACCAAGUUUGAUUCUGCCUUAUAAACCAAUGUUUAUCUUGUGCUC